CCUACGGGAGGCAGCAGUGAGGAAUAUUGGUCAAUGGCCGGAAGGCUGAACCAGCCAAGCCGCGUGAAGGACGAAGGUGCCAAGCAUUGUAAACUUCUUUUGUCAAGGGACAAAAUCAGGCUCGAGAGCCUGACCGAGGGUACUUGAAGAAAAAGCAUCGGCUAACUCCGUGCCAGCAGCGGCGGUAAUACGGAGGAUGAGAGCGUUAUCCGGAUUUAUUGGGUUUAAGGGGUGCGUAGGCGGGCUGUUAAGUCAGCGGUAAAAGCCCGGGGCUCAAACCCGGCGAGCCGUUGAAACUGGCUGUCGUGAGAUGGCGAGAGGUAUGCGGAAUGCGCAGUGUAGCGGUGAAAUGCUUAGAUAUUGCGCAGAACUCCGAUUGCGAAGGCAGCAUACCGGCGGCGAUCUGACGCUGAGGCACGAAAGCGUGGGUAUCGAACAGGAUUAGAUACCCUUGUAGUC
This 459-nucleotide ribosomal RNA is filed under the name uncultured bacterium. Its description in RNAcentral is "partial 16S ribosomal RNA". It matches the Rfam family "Bacterial small subunit ribosomal RNA", at positions 338 to 795 of the family's 1533-position model. The record is from RNAcentral.